RNAcentral lists this long non-coding RNA (204 nucleotides) under Elaeis guineensis (African oil palm). RNAcentral's name for it is "long non-coding RNA (EGUI_LNC080490)". Lineage: Eukaryota; Viridiplantae; Streptophyta; Magnoliopsida; Arecales; Arecaceae. The record is from RNAcentral.
GACAUCCCAACCGAGCUUCAGCCAUCCGGCCUGAACUCCCCGACAAGUCACGACAACGAACACCACUCCACUCUCUGUAACAAACUCCACCAGACGUCCCAAUCGAGCUUCAGCCGUCCGAUCCGAACUCUCCAACAAGUCACGACAACGGACACCACUCCACUCUCUGUAACAAACUCCACAUGGCCCCACCACUCUCUGGCA